AAAGUAUGAAAUGUUCAUUUUCUAGUUAAGUAUAUCCUUUGUAAAGUGUAUUCAUUCCUUGGCAGUAUGUCUCUCUAAGGAAGUCUCGGGGCUCCCAAGUACACGAUUGUGUAGGUGUGUGCUGAAAGCGCUUCCUUGAAUUGAAUGCCAGCCUGUAUCUGAACCCCCUUUCCAUAUCUCAGAGAAGGUAUGCAAACAAGUCAUCUGUGCUAUAUGUACCCUUUUGAAUCAAGAGUACUCAACGAAAUUAAAUUUCUCUUCAAUUCUUGAACAUGUCGUAUGCCACUAAGUGUUCUAAC
This 299-nucleotide long non-coding RNA is filed under the name Gossypium barbadense (sea-island cotton). RNAcentral's name for it is "long non-coding RNA (GBAR_LNC017098)". Lineage: Eukaryota; Viridiplantae; Streptophyta; Magnoliopsida; Malvales; Malvaceae. The record is from RNAcentral.